This 253-nucleotide ribosomal RNA is filed under the name uncultured bacterium. RNAcentral's name for it is "partial 16S ribosomal RNA". It matches the Rfam family "Bacterial small subunit ribosomal RNA", at positions 524 to 776 of the family's 1533-position model. The record is from RNAcentral.
UACGUAGGGAGCAAGCGUUGUUCGGAUUUACUGGGCGUAAAGGGCGCGUAGGCGGCGCGGUAAGUCACUGGUGAAAUCUCUGAGCUUAACUCAGAACGGCCAAGUGAUACUGCAGUGCUAGAGUGCAGAAGGGGCAAUCGGAAUUCUUGGUGUAGCGGUGAAAUGCGUAGAUAUCAAGAGGAACACCUGAGGUGAAGACGGGUUGCUAGGCUGACACUGACGCUGAGGCGCGAAAGCCAGGGGAGCAAACGGG